RNAcentral lists this ribosomal RNA (798 nucleotides) under uncultured Glomus. Its description in RNAcentral is "SSU rRNA". It matches the Rfam family "Eukaryotic small subunit ribosomal RNA", at positions 314 to 1114 of the family's 1831-position model. The record is from RNAcentral. Lineage: Eukaryota; Fungi; Glomeromycota; Glomeromycetes; Glomerales; Glomeraceae.
AUCAACUUUCGAUGGUAGGAUAGAGGCCUACCAUGGUGGUAACGGGUAACGGGGUGUUAGGGCACGACACCGGAGAGGGAGCCUGAGAAACGGCUACCACAUCCAAGGAUGGCAGCAGGCGCGCAAAUUACCCAAUCCCGACACGGGGAGGUAGUGACAAUAAAUAACAAUACGGGGUUCUUUAGGAUCUCGUAAUUGGAAUGAGUACAAUUUAAAUCUCUUAACGAGGAACAAUUGGAGGGCAAGUCUGGUGCCAGCAGCCGCGGUAAUUCCAGCUCCAAUAGCGUAUAUUAAAGUUGUUGCAGUUAAAAAGCUCGUAGUUGAAUUUCGAGACCGGCUUACUGGUCGUGCUUUUGUGCGUACUGGUAUAAUCGGUUUCUCCUUUCUGACGAACUUUAAUGCCAUUAAUUUGGUGUUUUAGGGAAUCAGGACUGUUACUUUGAAAAAAUUAGAGUGUUUAAAGCAGGCUCACGCUUGAAUACAUUAGCAUGGAAUAACGGAAUAGGACGUUUGAUUCUAUUUUGUUGGUUUCUAGGAUCGACGUAAUGAUUAAUAGGGAUAGUUGGGGGCAUUAGUAUUCAAUUGUCAGAGGUGAAAUUCUUGGAUUUAUUGAAGACUAACUACUGCGAAAGCAUUUGCCAAGGAUGUUUUCAUUAAUCAAGAACGAAAGUUAGGGGAUCGAAGACGAUCAGAUACCGUCGUAGUCUUAACCAUAAACUAUGCCGACUAGGGAUCGGAUGAUGUUAAUUUUUUAAUGACUCAUUCGGCGCCUUACGGGAAACCAAAGUGUUUGGGUUC